UAGCUGGAGAUGGUGUUAAUGUUGGGUGGUAAUGCAAUUGUGAUUUCAGCCAGAGUACAUCCCAAUUUGUACUAGUAGAGCGCCCUCUCUUUCACCCUUCAUCGUUUCUUCUUCCGUUACGUACCGUAGCUACCACCACCUACGAUUAUUUCCCUUUUCUCCCUCUCUAUCCCUUUCUCUUUCGCUCUCUCUUCUUCUUUCGAUCUUCCACCGCCUCGCACCUUUUCAAUCUCCAAAUUAGGGUUUUCAGGUUCCUAUAUUUCGCUUCCAUGUUCCGCGCUUAGAUUCGCCAACGCCUCGCAGAUCUACACACCUUCUCCUUCGCUCUUCCUUUAUCUUCUCCCACAUGUUCUGGAAGCUCGCCUCUAUCUCCUCCUCUCCUGUGGAGGUAAUAUUGGACAAGGAGAACUUCACUUUGGAAGAACUUCUGGAUGAGGAGGAAAUAAUCCAAGAAUGCAAGGCCUUAAACAGUCGACUCAUCAACUUUCUGAGAGAUAGAACUCAGGUGGAGCAAAUGCUACGCUACAUCAUUGAAGAACCACCGGAGGAUGCCGAAAACAAACGGGUCUUCAAGUUCCCAUUCAUUGCCUGUGAGAUCUUUACGUGUGAAAUUGAUGUAAUUUUGAAGACCUUGGUGGAUGAAGAAGAGCUCAUGAACUUAUUAUUUUCCUUCUUGGCACCUGAUCGUUGUCAUAGUACCUUGCUGGCUGGUUACUUUAGCAAGGUCGUUAUUUGUCUAAUGAUACGAAAGACAGUACCGCUUAUGAAUUAUGUUCAAGCCCAUCAGCAUGUUUUCCGCCAACUUGUAGAUUUGAUAGGCAUUACAUCUAUUAUGGAGGUUUUGGUUCGAUUAGUAGGUGCUGAUGACCAUGUAUAUCCCAAUUUUAUAGAUGUGAUGAAAUGGUUGGCUGAGAGCAAUCUACUUGAGAUGAUUGUUGAUAAAUUAAGUCCAGCUAGUCCUCCCGAAGUUCAUGUCAAUGUUGCUGAAACUUUGUGUACCAUAACUCGAGUUGCAUCAUCUUCUACUCUAGCAAUGAAGCUUUCAAGUCCAAGUUUUGUUGCAAAAAUUUUGGGUUAUGCAUUGGAGGAUUCACAUUCGAAGUCUAGCCUUGUCAACUCACUUUCAGUGUGUAUUUCUUUGUUGGAUCCCAAAAGAUCAGCUAUUCCAUCUCCGUUUUUUCAUUCAUUCCGAAGUCAAAACAUGUAUGAACCACCAAUUCCUGUAAACCCAGAUACCAUUGGUGCAAUGCUACCUAAACUUGGUGAACUGCUUGUGCUUUUGGACGUGUCAUCCGACAAUAAAGUAUUACCUACAACGUAUGGUGAAUUGAGACCUCCACUUGGCAAGCAUCGAUUAAAGAUUGUGGAGUUUAUUGCUGUACUUUUGAAAACUGGAAAUGAAGUGGCAGAAAAAGAAUUGGCAAACUCAGGAACCAUUCGACGAGUCAUUGAUCUUUUCUUUGAGUAUCCAUACAAUAACUCAUUACACCAUCACAUAGAAAGCAUCAUAUCAUCAUGUCUGGAGAGCAAAUCUAAUGCCAUCAUUGAUCAUGUGCUCCGAGAUUGUGAUUUAGUUGGAAGGUUUAUCCAAGCAGAUAAAAAUUCUAUUCUUUCUGCUGAAAGCAAUCAGCCCACGGUACCUGCUACAGGAAAACGGGGAACACGAAUAGGAAACAUUGGACAUAUUACUCGAAUUUUCAACAAACUUGUUCACUUGGCCCAUAACCAAAGCCACAUUGUGAAAUGUCUCCAGGAGAAUAGUGAGUGGAAUGAGUGGCAAUCUACUGUUCUUCAGCAGCGUAAUGUGGUUGAGAAUGUUCACCGUUGGGCUUGUGGACGCCCAACUGCAUUACAAGAUAGAAUGAGGGAUAGUGAUGAUGAAGACCUUCAUGACAGAGACUAUGAUGUUGCAGCUUUAGCAAAUAAUUUGAGCCAGGCUUUUAGAUACAAAAUUUAUGGAAAUGAAGAUAAUGAAGAGGAACAUGGUGUUCUUGAUCGAGAUGACGAGGAUGUCUACUUUGACGAUGAUUCUGCUGAAGUAGUCAUAUCAUCCCUAAGACUUGGUGAUGAUCAAGGGAGUAACCUGUUUACAAACUCCAACUGGUUUGCGUUCCAAGAUGACAGAAUUGGUGAUGCACCUGGGGGCACAUCAUCCUCUGAGAUGAUGGAUGAGAUAAAAUUGAACUCAGCUUCAAAUGGUGGUAGCAACAGUAGUGAUGACGAGGUAGUGGUUGGAGAGGAUGAAGAAUUGGCUGACAGCAAAAACACUGUGAAUGGUAUAUCUAGCUCAAGCACGGACUUCUUUAGUGGAUUAACUGGUAGUGAUUCCAUGAAUGGCACCUUAGACUUUGAAAGUGAGAAAACAAGUCCUUCACAUAAUAUGGGAUUCUUCAGGUUUGAGGCACCAGACAAUGAGGACUUGUUUGGCGAUAGAUCUUUACCUGAUUGGGUGGGAUGGGGUGAACCAUCAGAUAUGCAAAAUUCUGGCUCAAGUAGGAAUCCCUUUCUGGAUCAUGACGAGUCUGGUAGUAAUUUUCCUAUCAAGCCUCAGGUAGACAGUCUUGUUCUGAAUUCUCCUUCAAAUGGGGAAUCUGUACCUUCUUCGAAUGGAUCGCCAACGACUACUACAGAUUCAAUUAAUGGGAGCAUUGACUCCAGUCCAACAACAGUAGCGGUACCCUCGCUAUUUGAAGAGGAUGUGGAAUUUGUAGGAGUGGAAUUAGAUGGUACCGAGAAGGCAAUGGAACAGGCUUUAAAAGAAGGCACAGUUGGCGAAGCCGGACCAUUGAAAAGAAACGCAGUGUCAAAGGUUCCAGAAAAGGAAAAUUCUGAAGAAGAUGGCAGUCAUGCUGUGAAGGACUUCAACGAUGCAAAUUACUGGAGGGUCGACAAAGAGGUUGCUGUUCUAGAGUGAUGAGCAGAGUGGGAAUUCCCACAUUUAUUGAAUAUUCAAUCUGGUCUUCUCUCUCUGUUCUGUUUUUGCGGCUACCAAUAAAGGGACGCACGGGUCACUCUGCCAGGCUUUAUUUUUCAGUCUGGUAUGAACUAUUUCAAGAUUUCGGUUCAUUUUGGUAAAAAGUGUAUCGUAUUUAUAACUAACAUUCUAUGUAAAUGUUACUUUUAUACAAUUGUGUUCUUUAAUUAGUACGACGAUAUGGUCACAGAUAAUGUUGUCUUUUGAGAUCAAUGUAUAGCUUGGAGCAAUUGCUUUUA
This is an RNA transcript of Vigna angularis (adzuki bean), 3213 nucleotides long. RefSeq lists it as uncharacterized. The record is from RefSeq and is a predicted model, not a curated record. The transcript is spliced from 21 exons. NCBI's taxonomy places the organism in Eukaryota, Viridiplantae, Streptophyta, Magnoliopsida, Fabales, Fabaceae.